UGAAGGUUCGCUCAGUCAGGUAGUGAU
RNAcentral lists this non-coding RNA (27 nucleotides) under Bombyx mori (domestic silkworm). Lineage: Eukaryota; Metazoa; Arthropoda; Insecta; Lepidoptera; Bombycidae. The record is from RNAcentral.